Molecule: ribosomal RNA, 397 nt
Filed under: uncultured bacterium
Lineage: Bacteria
Description: partial 16S ribosomal RNA
Rfam family: Bacterial small subunit ribosomal RNA
Source: RNAcentral
AUACGUAGGGGGCAAGCGUUGUCCGGUAUGACUGGGCGUAAAGGGCGUGUAGGCGGUUGAGUAAGUUGGGAGUGAAACUCCUGUUUUCAAGGCAGGAACUGCUCUCAAAACUGCUUGACUUGAGUGCGGAAGAGGUAAGUGGAAUUCCCAGUGUAGCGGUGAAAUGCGUAGAGAUUGGGAGGAACACCAGUGGCGAAGGCGACUUACUGGGCCGUAACUGACGCUGAGGCGCGAAAGCGUGGGGAGCAAACAGGAUUAGAUACCCUGGUAGUCCACGCUGUAAACGAUGAUUACUAGGUGUUGGGGACCUAUAGGUCUUCGGUGCCGCAGCAAACGCAAUAAGUAAUCCACCUGGGGAGUACGUUCGCAAGAAUGAAACUCAAAGGAAUUGACGGGG